UUUUUGCCUCCAAGCUUCCAAGCUUUCAAGUGCUCAAGUGUCCUAGCUUUCCAAAGCUUCAAAAGCUCUCCAACUUCUUCUUCUAAUCUUCUUGUUCAUCUUUACAAGUAAGAAGUGUUGUUUGCUUUAAUAUUCCACUCCUCUAAUCACCUCUUGUGUGUGUCCACUUUGGUUGAGAGGGUUGUCUCAACAGUACCAAAGUGUGAGAGAAGGUUUGUGAGCUCAACCAUAAAGCUCUAGUUUGGUUUUAUAGAGUUUCCGGGAAAACUCUUAGGUCGAGUCUACCUUGAAAGAUUUCAGAGGUUUUUAAGAGUUCCUUGAUACUCUAAGGUACUAACUUAUCCGCAAAAGUUAGAGGUUCUUAAGAGUGCCCUUGAUACUCUAAGGUGUGAGUCUACCCUUAAAAAACUGGUUCCUAAACGAAGUAGCCUUAAAGCUUAGAGAGGCUUUUAAGAGUUCCUUGAUACUCUAAGGUACUAACUUACCCGCAAAAGUUAGAGAUUCUUAAGAGUGCCCUUGAUACUCUAAGGUGUGAGAAUAUCCGUAAAAGACUGGUUCCUAAACGAAGUAGCCUUAAAGCUUAGAGAGGUUCUUAAGAGUUUCCUUGAUACUCUAAGGUUUUGCCAUAACCUUUAGGCGAGUGAAUUCCGGCAGUUGGUCGGGACUGGACUAACCCUUGUUUGGGUGAACCAGUAUAAAUCUCUUGUGUUGUUCUCUGUUAAUUAUAGUUUUAUCUCUUAUCUAAAAACAACACUUAAUUAAAAAGGAUCCCUCUUCCAGUUAUCUGGUCAAAUACAGAAGUUGACUACUUUACGCAGAUCCCUCAUCCAGUUAUCUGAUCAACCAUCUGAGGUUAUAUUCAUUAUUUUAAAUCCUUAUAUUUGUUCAAGUAUUACUUAUCAUAUAUAUCCAGUUAUCUGAUCAUUUACUUGCUUAUCAAUAUAUCCAGUUAUCUGGUCAUUUACUCUACAAUACAAUUUGUGUUUACAAUAUAACUUAGUAUUCAUAUACUAUAAUUGUGUGUAAAACACUAUCCAACAAGUUGACUCAGUAUUCAUAUACUGUGGUAAGCUUCGAAGAGUAAUAAUUACAUUAUUAUAUCAAUCAAAGUUAUAAUAUCUUUAUAUCAUUAUUGUUCAACCAUUUGUUUAUUAAGCAUUUACAGGUAAUUCCGCAAUCAACCUGUAUAAAUCGAAAAGAGACUAUUAUCCCCCCUUAUAGCCUCGGAUCUCGAUCCAACAAGUGGUAUCAGAGCCAAGUUCCGUUGAAGUCAGACUAACAUCUUACAACAACAACUAUGACUUCAAAUGGUGAAAACAGUACUGGUCUUGCAUCGAACAAACCUCCUAGGUUCGAUGGAGUAAAGUAUGACUUCUGGAAAAACAAGAUGAAGUUAUACUUAAAGUCAAUCAACAAUGGAGUCUAGAAAAUCAUAUUGGAAGAUUAUGAGAUUCCAACAAGCAAAGAAGAGACUUGGGGAGCAAUGAAUAUUCUCAAGGAAAACAACAACUCAAGAGCAUUGAAUGCACUAUAUGGUGCCCUCAAUGAAUCUGAGUAUAGCAGAAUUCGAUGCUUGGAUACAGCUCACAAGGUAUGGAAAGCUUUGGAGGACCUACAUGAAGGAACCUCCCACGUCAAGGAAAACAAGCUACUAAAUGCCACUUCUCAAUUCGAAAGAUUCUCUAUGAGGGAAGAUGAGACUAUCGCGGAAAUGAAUAUUCGACUAUCAGAAAUAGUCAACGAUCUGGCUGGACUAGGAGAUCCAGUAACUGAGAAAAAGCAAGUGAGCAAGAUUCUAAGGAGCCUUCCAAACAAAUACUACUCAAAAAGGAAUGCUAUCCAAGAAUCUUAUGAUCUGAAUAAACUCACAGUGGUAGAACUUUGCGGAAAUCUGAUGGCCUAUGAAGAAGAAAGAUUUAUCUCUAGAGCAAAAGAAGAGAAAAAGGACAUUGAUCUCAAAAGUCAAUCCGAUAACGAAGCAUCUGAUGAUGACUUGGCAAUGAUCACAAAUCAUUUAAAGAGAUAUCUCAUAAAAAGGAAAGAAAAGAGAAAUUCAAAGUUAGACUAUCAGAAUUCCGACAGAAAAGUGAGUAAAAACCACAAAGACUCAAAGGAGCCCAUCUGCUAUUUGUGCGACAAAUCUGGACACAUCAGACCUGAAUGUCCUCUGCUAAAGAAAGAAAAAGCACAUCAAGUACACUAGUCAGAUUCUGAGUCAGAUCAAGAAGACUGCCUUAUGGCUCAUGAGAACGACUCUGAGGUAAACUUUACAAAUACUAGAUUUAAUUCAUUAGAAGAAGCAUAUCUAGAAUUAAUGAAUAAAUAUAAAGCUGAAAAAAAAUUAAGUAAAUCAUUAAGACUAGAAUGCAUGAAUAGAUCACAUAUUGAUCAUUCAAUAGAAUUAGAAGAAUCACAAAAAGAAUGCAUGUUAUUAAAAGAAGAAAAUCAUAAACUCUCAAGUAAAAUAAAAAAGGGAGAUGAAAAAAUUAAAAUACUUAAGAGUCAAAAUUUUGAAUUACUCGAUAUUCUAGAAUCUGAAGAAAAUCAACCUAAGGAAAUAAAUGAUGAUAGGGUUGAAUUGUUAGAAUUAAAAAUAGAUAAUUUUGAGAAAAUCGUUAGAAAUAAAGAAAAAGAAACAAUCAUGCUUAAAACUGAAAUAGAAUUUAAGGAUAAACUCAUACUUGAGCAUGAAGAAACUUUACAAAAAUUAUCUGAAAAACAUAACAGCAUGCAAUUACAAACUGAAAGAAUAAAUGAGAAAAAUAAUGUUCUUCAAAAAUUCUUAAAUAGUUCAUCCAAGUUAAAUAACAUGUUGCAAGGUUCAAACUUGGGUCAAAAGAAAUUUGGCUUAGGGUUUGAGUCAGAUGCACCUAUUAACAAAACCUUAAAUGCCAUAACUUAUAAUGAUCAUUUUGUAAGGGAAUCUAGUUAUACAAAACCUUUACAUGCUUCAAUGUAUAAUGAUUAUUCUAGCUAUACAAAACUCAUUCAUCUUAAGAAAAAGAAAAAUCAUUCUAAGAUGAAUCAUCCAAAACAAAGAUGGAUGACUAAAGAUGAGUUAAGAAGUUAUAAGCAGAUUAAGUAUGUUAAUUCAUCCGGACCCAACUCAGUAUAGGUACCAAAGGAUUUUUCAACUUUUUCAGGAAAAGCAUGUGUCAAAAUGGAUGUUCGACAGCGGAUGCACAAGACACAUGACUGGGGAAUCAAGUCUACUAACAGACUUGGUAGACUUACCUACUAGUAAAAAGGUCAAGUUCGCCGAUAACAACGAAGGUACAAUAGCAGGUAGGGGGUAAUGUAGGAAAUACCGAAAAAUCAUUCUUAAGAAAUGUGUACUUAGUAAUUGGUCUAAAACACAACCUGAUUAGCAUAAGUCAAUUAUGUGAUAUUGGUUGUGUAGUAAAAUUUGAAAAAUAUAAUUGUUUUAUCACUAACUCUGAGGGAGUUAUUAUUGCCAGAGGAUAUAGAAAAAACAAUGCUUAUUCUAUAAAUUUUGAUAAGUCUAAUCCAACUCGUGACUUCUGCAUGCAUGCUGCAAGCGAUGAGAAAGUUUUAUGGCAUAGACGAUUAGGUCACACCAGCUACUCAAAACUAUCUAAAUUAUCUAAAGAAGAAUUAGUAACUGGGUUGCCUAAAAUAGCUUAUGAGAAAAGUAAUAUCUGUGAUAUUUGUCAAAAAGGAAAGCAACACAAAAGCCCGUUUAAAUCCCUCACAGAAAUAACCACUUCUAGACCCUUAGAGCUUCUUCACAUGGACUUAUUUGGGCCAACCCAAACCCAAAGUCUUGGAGGAAAAAGGUUCACCUAUGUAAUCAUUGAUGAUUAUUCUCGCUAUACAUGGGUGUUCUUUCUAAGAAACAAAAGUGAAACCUUUGGUGAAUUCUCUAAAUUUUGUACCCUAGUACAGAAUGAAAAAGGUUCAUCUAUCAUAAAAAUCAGAAGUGGUCGUAGAGGAGAAUUUGAAAACUCUGACUUUAAAGAGUACUGUAUAUCCAAUGGGAUAAAGCAUGAAUUUGCUUUUCCUCAAGCUCCACCUCAAAAUGGAAUAGUAGAAAGAAAAAAUCUUACUCUUCAAGAAAUGAGUAGGUCUAUGUUACAAGAACAUGACUCCCCUCAAUAUCUAUGGGCAGAAGCUAUAAGCACUGCAUGUUACACUCUCAAUAAGGUAAUCAUUAGAAAAACCUUAAACAAAACUCCCUAUGAACUUUGGAAUAACAGAAAACCCAAAGUUUCAUUCUUUAAAGUAUUUGAGAGUAAAUGCUAUGUUCUCACAACAAGGGGAAACCAAGAUAAAUUAGCACAAAAAUCUGAUGAAGGAAUCUUGGUUGGAUACUCAAAAAGGAGCAAGGCAUAUAGAGUCCUUCUCAAAGAAAGACAAACAUUGAUAGAAUCCCUACACGUUGACUUUGAUGAGUCCAUCUCUGUUCCAAACACAGAAGAAGGAGGAAUUGAAGUCACUCAACAAGUACCAUCUGACACUCCUAUAGAAAAAGAUGAUCAAGAAACAAUCAUCUCUGAACUUCUAUCAAAUAGGAAUUUUAGAAACCCAUACUCUGUAGAACAAAUUAUUGGAGAUCAACACACUGGCGUACAGACAAGAUCAUCUACGUAACUAUGUCCUAGAUUGCUUUGUAUCUCAAAUAAAGCUUAAGUAGAUCUAUGUGCAUAUAUAUAUGAACUUAAUAUAAUCUAUCAAAUAUUUAUAUGCGUACUUUUACUAUGAUUAUUCAUAUACUAAGUUCUGUACACACAUAGCUAAAUGCAUGCCUAUCAUAUAUGACAAUCACGUUAAUGCAUUUCAUGCUACUAAAAGUUCCAUGAUCUAAAACAACUAUCUGAUAAAUGCAUGCUUUACAUGCUUGAUUCAUGCAUACAGUCGUCAACUUAUUUAUGAAACUAAUCCUAUACAUGCCUGUUUUACGUAUUACAAAACAUCUGCAUGCUUAAAAUCAUUUGAUAAAUACAUAUAGUAUGCAUGCAAAGUAAAAUGAGUCUACCUACAUAUGAGAUGUACAAUACAUGCAUGAAAACUUCAAAACAACUCAUUACAUGUCACGAUUAUGCAUGCAAGAUUAACACCUGAUUAUAAAAAUAUAAUACAAUCUAUGCAUGAAUAUUCAAAGGAUCGGUGACUCAUGCCAUGUUGCUUGUAUUAUAAAUCUUAUACAUAUACAAAGAUAAGAUUCUCCAACAAACUUUAUCCAAGAAAAACACUAUUCAAGAUAAGAUCAAAGACAAAGCUUGGAUUUAUGUGAGAAAUCAAGGAGCCAUCCAUUGAAGAUCCAAGGGUGGACAUUGAGUGGCCAAGGCUAUAAAUAGAAGGGUAAACCCCUCAUUUUCACUUACCACACUACAAGCAAACUCAAGAGCUUUCACUCCACAUUUGCCCACACGUUUUUGCCUCCAAACUUUCAAGUGCCCAAGUGUCCUAGCUUUCCAAAGCUUCAAAAGCUCUCCAACUUCUUCUUCUAAUCUUCUUGUUCAUCUUUACAAGUAAGAAGUGUUGUUUGUUUUAAUAUUCCACUCCUCUAAUCACCUCUUGUGUGUGUCCACUUUGGUUGAGAGGGUUGUCUCAAUAGUACCAAAGUGUGAAAGAAGGUUUUUGAGCUCAACCAUAAAGCUCUAGUUUGGUUUUAUAGAGUUUCCGGGAAAACUCUUAAGUCGAGUCUACCUUGAAAGAUUUCAGAGGUUUUUAAGAGUUCCUUGAUACUCUAAGGUACUAACUUACCCGCAAAAGUUAGAGGUUCUUAAGAGUGCCCUUGAUACUCUAAGGUGUGAGUCUACCCGUAAAAGACUGGUUCCUAAACAAAGUAGUCUUAAAGCUUAAAGAGGUUUUUAAGAGUUCCUUGAUACUCUAAGGUACUAACUUACCCGCAAAAGUUAGAGGUUCUUAAGAGUGCCCUUGAUACUCUAAGGUGUGAGAAUACCCGUAAAAGACUGGUUCCUAAGCGAAGUAGCCUUAAAGUUUAAAGAGGUUCUUAAGAGUUUCCUUGAUACUCUAAGGUUUUGUCAUAACCUUUAGGCGAGUGAAUUCCAGCAGUUGGUCGAGACUGGACUAGCCAUUGUUUGGGUGAACCAGUAUAAAUCUCUUGUGUUGUUCGUUGUUCUCUGUUAAUUAUAGUUUUAUCUCUUAUCUAAAAACAACACUUAAUUAAAAAGGAUCCCUCUUCCAGUUAUCUGCUCAAGUACAGAGGUUGACUACUUUACGCAGAUCCCUCAUCCAGUUAUCUGGUCAACCAUCUGAAGUUAUAUUCAUUGUUUUAAAUCCUUAUAUUUGUUCAAGUAUUACUUAUCAUAUAUAUCCAAUUAUCUGGUCAUUUAUUUGUUUAUCAAUAUAUCUAGUUAUCUGGUCAUUUACUCUAUAAUAUAAUUUGUGUUUACAAUAUAACUUAGUAUUCAUAUACUAUAGUUGUGUGUAAAAAACUAUCAAGCAAGUUGACUCAGUAUUCAUAUACUGUGGUAAGCUUCGAAGAGUAAUAAUUACAUUAUUAUAUCAAUCAAAGUUAUAAUAUCUUUAUAUCAUUAUUGUUCAACCAUUUGUUUAUUAAGCAUUUACAGGUAAUUCCGCAAUCAACCUGUAUAAAUCGAAAAGAGACUAUUAUCCCCC
Molecule: long non-coding RNA, 6606 nt
Filed under: Zostera marina
Lineage: Eukaryota; Viridiplantae; Streptophyta; Magnoliopsida; Alismatales; Zosteraceae
Description: long non-coding RNA (ZMAR_LNC005001)
Source: RNAcentral